AACGUAGGAGACAAACGUUAUCCGGAGUUACUGGGCGUAAAGGGCGUGUAGGUGGUUUAGUAAGUCUGGCGUGAAAUUUUUCGGCUUAACCGGGAAAGGUCGUCGGAUACUGCUGAGCUAGAGGACGGUAGAGGCGUGUGGAAUUCCGGGUGUAGUGGUGAAAUGCGUAGAGAUCCGGAGGAACACCAGUGGCGAAGGCGGGUCUCUGGGCAACAACUGACGCUGAGGAGCGAAAGCGUGGGGAGCGAACAGG
Molecule: ribosomal RNA, 253 nt
Filed under: uncultured bacterium
Lineage: Bacteria
Description: partial 16S ribosomal RNA
Rfam family: Bacterial small subunit ribosomal RNA
Source: RNAcentral